AACGAACGCUGGCGGCAUGCCUAACACAUGCAAGUCGAACGAGACCUUCGGGUCUAGUGGCGCACGGGUGCGUAACGCGUGGGAACCUGCCCUUAGGUUCGGAAUAACUCCCCGAAAGGGGUGCUAAUACCGGAUAAUGUCUUCGGACCAAAGAUUUAUCGCCUUUGGAUGGGCCCGCGUUGGAUUAGCUAGUUGGUAGGGUAAAAGCCUACCAAGGCGACGAUCCAUAGCUGGUCUGAGAGGAUGAUCAGCCACACUGGGACUGAGACACGGCCCAGACUCCUACGGGAGGCAGCAGUGGGGAAUAUUGGACAAUGGGCGAAAGCCUGAUCCAGCAAUGCCGCGUGAGUGAUGAAGGCCUUAGGGUUGUAAAGCUCUUUUACCCGGGAUGAUAAUGACAGUACCGGGAGAAUAAGCGCCGGCUAACUCGGUG
RNAcentral lists this ribosomal RNA (433 nucleotides) under uncultured bacterium. RNAcentral's name for it is "partial 16S ribosomal RNA". It matches the Rfam family "Bacterial small subunit ribosomal RNA", at positions 29 to 507 of the family's 1533-position model. The record is from RNAcentral.